UAUAAAGUGGCGAACGGCUGAGUAACACGUGGGCAACCUGCCCUUUGCACUGGGAUAGCCUCGGGAAACCGAGGUUAGUACCGGAUACUCCAUAUUUGUCGCAUGGCGAAUAUGGGAAAGCUCCGGCGGCAAAGGAUGGGCCCGCGGCCUGUUAGCUAGUUGGUGGGGUAGUGGCCUACCAAGGCAAUGAUGGGUAGCCGGGUUGAGAGACCGACCGGCCAGAUUGGGACUGAGACACGGCCCAGACUCCUACGGGAGGCAGCAGAC
RNAcentral lists this ribosomal RNA (267 nucleotides) under uncultured Atopobium sp. RNAcentral's name for it is "partial 16S ribosomal RNA". It matches the Rfam family "Bacterial small subunit ribosomal RNA", at positions 89 to 354 of the family's 1533-position model. The record is from RNAcentral. Lineage: Bacteria; Bacillati; Actinomycetota; Coriobacteriia; Coriobacteriales; Atopobiaceae.